RNAcentral lists this long non-coding RNA (866 nucleotides) under Mytilus galloprovincialis (Mediterranean mussel). The record is from RNAcentral. Lineage: Eukaryota; Metazoa; Mollusca; Bivalvia; Mytilida; Mytilidae.
GCAAGUUGUCCUUGUAUUUGCAGAAGGAAAUCUGCACUCAUUUUUGAUAACUUUCAGUGCAUUCUAUGUUUAUUAUGAAUGCCAUAUUUGUUCAACAUUAAAAUAUUAUGGUACAUCAGAAAUAUCAAUACAUCAUUAGGUAUAACUUCAUCAUCCCCAUUCAUUCAAAUUCUUCUUGGAGUAUGUUAUACAUCUUAGCAGACGCCACAAAAGAAGACAGAAUUGAUGAAACUUACAUUUAAGACAUUACAAGUAAACUUCGAAUCUUUCAUGAAUAGUUUUUGAAGAGUUAUCCUUAAUUUAAUAUAGUAAUGGGGAAAUAGCUACGAGAGAUAUAAAAAUUGUACAGCAAGUAUGGUUCAAUCUUGUCAAAAUAAGAAACAUUACUAAUAAUUCGACCUCAUUGAAUCCGUAUUCAUGUGACCUUUAAUUCAACCCCUUAUCUAGAGAUUGAUUACGCAUAAAUUAUGCGUGUUCAGUUAUUAAAAGGAAACAAAUGUCAACAUUGAAAGUGAAACAAAGGUAAAUAAUUUGAUUGACUGAUUUGAUCGUCAAAACACCAUUCUUAUACAUGUACAAAUGAUGAUUUACAUAUAUUGUUAACCUAUAAUAUGAAAUUAAACAGUCGUUAAAACAAUCGAAUGUCCCGAAAAUACACACGAAACGUAUAUACAUAUUAUCGAACCCAUGUCUUGUUAAUUGUUUUUUUUUUUAGACUUUUUACAAUUUGGAUAUACGUUUAAGUAUGUUAUAAAUCAAGUAUGAGAAUUUUAAUCAAAUCUGUGAACAUGAAUUCGACAGCAUUGCAUCUUAUAUUUGUUUUGUUUGAUUAUUUUUGAACAAUUCUCAAUCGUGAAUAUGCUUUC